This 296-nucleotide ribosomal RNA is filed under the name uncultured bacterium. RNAcentral's name for it is "partial 16S ribosomal RNA". It matches the Rfam family "Bacterial small subunit ribosomal RNA", at positions 334 to 622 of the family's 1533-position model. The record is from RNAcentral.
CAUUCCUACGGGAGGCAGCAGUAGGGAAUCUUCCACAAUGGACGAAAGUCUGAUGGAGCAACGCCGCGUGAGUGAAGAAGGGUUUCGGCUCGUAAAGCUCUGUUGGUAGUGAAGAAAGAUAGAGGUAGUAACUGGCCUUUAUUUGACGGUAAUUACUUAGAAAGUCACAGCUAACUACGUGCCAGCAGCCGCGGUAAUACGUAGGUGGCAAGCGUUGUCCGGAUUUAUUGGGCGUAAAGCGAGUGCAGGCGGUUCCAAUAGUCUUAUGUGAAAACCCUCGGGUCCACCCGAGAAUU